RNAcentral lists this transfer RNA (62 nucleotides) under Loxodonta africana (African savanna elephant). It matches the Rfam family "tRNA". From Rfam's summary of the family: Transfer RNA (tRNA) molecules are approximately 80 nucleotides in length. The record is from Rfam by way of RNAcentral. Lineage: Eukaryota; Metazoa; Chordata; Mammalia; Proboscidea; Elephantidae.
GCAUUGGUGGUUCAGUGGUAGAAUUCUUGCCUUCCAUGCAGGCUCAACUCUUGGCCAAUGCA